Molecule: ribosomal RNA, 464 nt
Filed under: uncultured bacterium
Lineage: Bacteria
Description: partial 16S ribosomal RNA
Rfam family: Bacterial small subunit ribosomal RNA
Source: RNAcentral
CUACGGGUCGCACCAGUGGGGAAUAUUGCACAAUGGGCGCAAGCCUGAUGCAGCCAUGCCGCGUGUAUGAAGAAGGCCUUCGGGUUGUAAAGUACUUUCAGCGGGGAGGAAGGGAGUAAAGUUAAUACCUUUGCUCAUUGACGUUACCCGCAGAAGAAGCACCGGCUAACUCCGUGCCAGCAGCCGCGGUAAUGCGGAGGGUGCAAGCGUUAAUCGGAAUUACUGGGCGUAAAGCGCACGCAGGCGGUUUGUUAAGUCAGAUGUGAAAUCCCCGGGCUCAACCUGGGAACUGCAUCUGAUACUGGCAAGCUGGAGUCUCGUAGAGGGGGGUAGAAUUCCAGGUGUAGCGGUGAAAUGCGUAGAGAUCUGGAGGAAUACCGGUGGCGAAGGCGGCCCCCUGGACGAAGACUGACGCUCAGGUGCGAAAGCGUGGGGAGCAAACAGGAUUAGAUACCCGAGUAGUC